UACGUAGGGUGCAAGCGUUGUCCGGAAUUAUUGGGCGUAAAGAGCUCGUAGGCGGUUUGUCGCGUCUGCUGUGAAAACUCGGGGCUUAACUCCGGGCCUGCAGUGGGUACGGGCAGACUAGAGUGCGGUAGGGGAGACUGGAAUUCCCGGUGUAGCGGUGGAAUGCGUAGAGAUCGGGAAGAACAUCAGUGGCGAAGGCGGCCUGCUGGGCUGUUGCUGACGCUGAGGCGCGACAGCGUGGGGAGCAAACAGG
RNAcentral lists this ribosomal RNA (253 nucleotides) under uncultured bacterium. RNAcentral's name for it is "partial 16S ribosomal RNA". It matches the Rfam family "Bacterial small subunit ribosomal RNA", at positions 524 to 776 of the family's 1533-position model. The record is from RNAcentral.